AAUUAAAAAAAAAUUAGGUAAGAUAUCAAAAUAAACUCUUAUGAUUGGUUAAUUUUAAUCUGACCUCUUUACUAAGUGUUCUUAAGGGUCAAACACGACACAUUGUUUAACUAUAAGAGACAAAUAAUAAAUAUUAUUCCUAUUUGCUAAAUUAAAGGUUAUGAAAUAAUCAAAAUUUGUUUAAAACAUAAUCAAUUCUUAUAAUUUGUAAGUAUUUUAUGCCAUUUCCGAGCUAAGUGUUCUAAAGGUUCAAACACAAUACAUUAAGAGAGAUUAAAUAAUUAUUUACAAUAUUAAUCUUAUUUUUCAAUUUUCUCUUUUCAACCAUGAAAGGUUAUGAAGUAAACAAAAUUUAGUAAAAAUAAAAAAAUUAAGCCUUAUGAUUAAUAAAUGUUUAUGUGUCCUCCUUACUAAGUGUUAUGAUAGGGGAAAACACAACACAUUGAUAUAAUUAAGAGACAUUCAAUAAUUAUAAAAAAAUUUAGCAAGUUUUUCUUUACAACACUACCUAUGCAUAAAAAAAAAACUAUAAUUUUUCUAAUGGCAAAAUGCUAUAAAAAGAGAAUUAGAUUUAGAAAUUAUGAAGUGAUUGAAUAUAUUUUGUUUGAAAUCUGCAGAGGGUGGAAAAUAUGGUUGAAAUUGCAAGAAUUUUUUAUGUUAUGAUUAUCUUCCUUUCUCUAUUUUUUGUUGCAACGAACGUUAAUGGUAAAUUAUUUUUCUCCUUUUUAAAUUUCCUUACUUAUUAUAUAAUGUUAUCACAUUUUAAUAGCUUUCUUUUUUAUUAUUUCUUCACUAUAGCGACGAAUCCUAGAUGUGUAACUGCUGCUGAUUGUCCAAAAUAUUUUUGUGGGCCUACUGAAUCAAGAAUGUGUGUUUUCGGUUUUUGUUUAUGUGGUUGGUGACUCCAUGUAUGAUAUGAGGAUAAACACUCUGCAGGAAAAUUCCUUGUGUUCUCUUAAAUUAUUGUGUUGAUAUCAAAUAAUUUAGAUCUCUUUAAGUUUUCAAAGUUUAUGAAAUUUAUAGUUAUGACUAUCUUUAAAUCUAGCUCUAUUGACAAUAAAAACAAAUCUAAACAAAAAUAAGUUGAAAAGGAACAUACUUUGUAGAGUUAGAAAAUAUAUUUAUUUGUUACUAUUGCUUUUGUGAUUAUAUGUAUAUUCACCACUAAUAUAUUGUUGACUUCAUGCAUAAUGCCGUAUACUUAAGUUAACAUAGCA
RNAcentral lists this long non-coding RNA (1217 nucleotides) under Lathyrus oleraceus (garden pea). Its description in RNAcentral is "Pisum sativum (pea) long non-coding RNA (PSAT_LNC008990)". Lineage: Eukaryota; Viridiplantae; Streptophyta; Magnoliopsida; Fabales; Fabaceae. The record is from RNAcentral.